GACGAACGCUGGCGGCGUGGAUUAGGCAUGCAAGUCGAACGGUAUCAUCCUUUCGGGGGUGAGAGAGUGGCGAACUGGUGAGUAACACGUAGGUUAUCUACCUCAAGACGGGACAACCCAGGGAAACUUGGGCUAAUACCGGAUGUGAGCAACUUUUAGUGUUUGAAAGGUGGCGUAAGCUGUCGCUUGGGGAUGAGCCUGCGUCCUAUUAGUUAGUUGGUGAGGUAACGGCUCACCUAGGCAAUGAUAGGUAGGCGGCCUUAACGGGUGGUCGCCCACACUGGGAUUGAGAUACGGCCCAGACUCCUACGGGAGGCAGCAGUCGAGAAUAGUCUACAAUGGUCGGAAGACUGAUAGUGCGACGCCGCGUGAACGAUGAAUCCCUUCGGGGUGUAAAGUUCUUUUAUAUGUGAGCAGUGCUUCUUAUAUUAACAGUAUGGGGAGAGAGAUAUUAGCAUAUGAAUAAGCAACGGCUAACUCCGUG
Molecule: ribosomal RNA, 484 nt
Filed under: uncultured bacterium
Lineage: Bacteria
Description: bacterial SSU rRNA
Rfam family: Bacterial small subunit ribosomal RNA
Source: RNAcentral